GAAGUCGGCCGGAAGGUCGCCGGUGAACAAGCACCGUUCACGGGAGGAAAGUCCGGGCUCCGCAGGACAGGGAGGUCGGUAACACCGACCCGGGGUGACCCGAGGGAAAGCGCAACAGAAAUGACACCGCCGAUGGCGCUGCGCUCGCAAGAGCGACGCGCACAGGUAAGGUUGAAAUCGUGGGGUAAGAGCCCACGCGCGACAGCCGGGCGACCGGCGGCGAGGCAAGCCCCUCCCGGAGCAAGCUCGAAUAGGGACACCGUCGAGAGCGGUCCGCUCGAUCGACGGCGCGCAAGCGUCGUCGCGGUGUCCGGGUGAGAGCGCUCGAGCCGCCUAGCAAUGGUCGGCCUAGAGGAAUGACUUUCGCCGUGCGCGGGGCAACCCGCGCGCGGAACAGAACCCGGCUUACAGGCCGAUCCGGAC
RNAcentral lists this RNase P RNA (423 nucleotides) under Deltaproteobacteria bacterium. RNAcentral describes it as "RNase P RNA component class A". It matches the Rfam family "Bacterial RNase P class A". Rfam says of the family: Ribonuclease P (RNase P) is a ubiquitous endoribonuclease, found in archaea, bacteria and eukarya as well as chloroplasts and mitochondria. Lineage: Bacteria; Pseudomonadati; Myxococcota; Myxococcia. The record is from RNAcentral.